Molecule: ribosomal RNA, 464 nt
Filed under: Vreelandella stevensii
Lineage: Bacteria; Pseudomonadati; Pseudomonadota; Gammaproteobacteria; Oceanospirillales; Halomonadaceae
Description: partial 16S ribosomal RNA
Rfam family: Bacterial small subunit ribosomal RNA
Source: RNAcentral
CCUACGGGGGGCAGCAGUGGGGAAUAUUGGACAAUGGGGGGAACCCUGAUCCAGCCAUGCCGCGUGUGUGAAGAAGGCCCUCGGGUUGUAAAGCACUUUCAGUGAGGAAGAACGCCUGGUGGUUAAUACCCAUCAGGAAAGACAUCACUCACAGAAGAAGCACCGGCUAACUCCGUGCCAGCAGCCGCGGUAAUACGGAGGGUGCGAGCGUUAAUCGGAAUUACUGGGCGUAAGCGGGCGUAGGUGGCUUGAUAAGCCGGUUGUGAAAGCCCCGGGCUCAACCUGGGAACGGCAUCCGGAACUGUCAAGCUAGAGUGCAGGAGAGGAAGGUAGAAUUCCCGGUGUAGCGGUGAAAUGCGUAGAGAUCGGGAGGAAUACCAGUGGCGAAGGCGGCCUUCUGGACUGACACUGACACUGAGGUGCGAAAGCGUGGGUAGCAAACAGGAUUAGAUAUCCUUGUAGUC